UCAUAAUAUAUCUUAAGAGCAUCGCUCAUUAAUCAGAUAAGGUGGGGAUUUGAUCACCCUUCCUUAGCCCGCAAACCACAACCUUCAUUUGCAUUAAUCCAAGCCUUAGAAUAAAAUCCAUUAGACGUCAAUCCUAAGGACAUUCGAGCUCAUUAGGACAGAAAAAUCUAAGAGUUGGACUGGAUUCAAGUUGGUUAGCCUGUCGGUGUCUAAGAAAGUAGUUCAAGAAUUACGUUCCAAAGAAAGAUGGUUCUCU
RNAcentral lists this long non-coding RNA (256 nucleotides) under Elaeis guineensis (African oil palm). Its description in RNAcentral is "long non-coding RNA (EGUI_LNC037730)". The record is from RNAcentral. Lineage: Eukaryota; Viridiplantae; Streptophyta; Magnoliopsida; Arecales; Arecaceae.